Eleginops maclovinus (Patagonian blennie) is the source of this 338-nucleotide long non-coding RNA. RefSeq lists it as uncharacterized. The transcript is spliced from 3 exons. Lineage: Eukaryota; Metazoa; Chordata; Actinopteri; Perciformes; Eleginopidae. The record is from RefSeq and is a predicted model, not a curated record.
GUGACCCUAAACAAACGCACCCACGUUUUUGCGUCAACAGGUGCACGCUGAUUGCCGGAAAGCUAACGGUGCUGUGUGGCGGUGAAUUCAACAUAAACACCGGGGCUAUAACCGACAGUGAGGACUUCUCCUUCAAGACAGCACAGAAGUGGAGAGGACUGCUAGGAUGAACGGCGUCCAAAGUGCAAACAGUAGGAUGGUGUCCUGUUUCAUGUGAAAGCUGAGACGACGCAACCAAGGCUCAUCGAAACUGGAGGAAGAAACAAAAAGAGGUGGAAGAAAGUCUGAGAGAAGAUGAUCUCCUCUCCUGUUUUCAGGCAAAGAAACUCCGCUGUAGG